UUUCCGUUGGUGAACCAGCGGAAGGAUCAUUACAGAGAUCGUGCCCUUCGGGGUAGACCUCCCACCCUGUGUUAUUUACGUAUGUUGCUUUGGCGGGCCGCCUCCGGGCUCGCGGCUUCGGCCGGGGUGUGCCCGCAAGAGAAACCACUACCCUGUGAUUAGUGUCGUCUGAGUAUUAUCAAAUAAGUUAAAACUUUCGACAACGGAUCUCUUGGUUCUG
Molecule: unclassified non-coding RNA, 220 nt
Filed under: plant metagenome
Description: partial contains small subunit ribosomal RNA, internal transcribed spacer 1, and 5.8S ribosomal RNA
Source: RNAcentral